This 671-nucleotide ribosomal RNA is filed under the name uncultured bacterium. Its description in RNAcentral is "bacterial SSU rRNA". It matches the Rfam family "Bacterial small subunit ribosomal RNA", at positions 79 to 765 of the family's 1533-position model. The record is from RNAcentral.
AAUACACCGGAAGAUUUAGUGGCGAACGGGUGAGGAUCACGUGAGAAACGUGCCCCAGACUCUGGGAUAACAAUUGGAAACGAUUGCUAAUACCGGAUGACGUCGGAGAAUCGCAUGAUUCACUGACGAAAGAUAUUUCGGUUUGGGAGCGUCUCGCGGCCUAUCAGCUUGUUGGUGGGGUAAUGGCCUACCAAGGCAACGACGGGUAGCUGGUCUGAGAGGAUGAUCAGCCACACUGGGACUGAGACACGGCCCAGACUCCUACGGGAGGCAGCAGUGGGGAAUCUUGCGCAAUGGGCGAAAGCCUGACGCAGCAACGCCGCGUGCGGGAUGAAGGCCUUCGGGCUGUAAACCGCUUUCAGCAGGAACGAAAAUGACGGUACCUGCAGAAGAAGGAGCGGCCAACUACGUGCCAGCAGCCGCGGUGACACGUAGGCUCCAAGCGUUGUCCGGAUUUAUUGGGCGUAAAGAGCUCGUAGGCGGUUGAGUAAGUCGGGUGUGAAAACUCUGGGCUUAACCCGGAGACGCCAUCCGAUACUGCUCUGACUAGAGUUCAGGAGGGGAGUGGGGAAUUCCUAGUGUAGCGGUGAAAUGCGCAGAUAUUAGGAGGAACACCGGUGGCGAAGGCGCCACUCUGGACUGAAACUGACGCUGAGGAGCGAAAGCAUGGG